Onychostoma macrolepis is the source of this 1662-nucleotide long non-coding RNA. RefSeq lists it as uncharacterized. The transcript has 5 exons. The record is from RefSeq and is a predicted model, not a curated record. Lineage: Eukaryota; Metazoa; Chordata; Actinopteri; Cypriniformes; Cyprinidae.
UGGAAGACAUAAAAGACCACUGAUAAUCUCCCUCGAUCUGGGGCUCCACGCAAGAUCUCACCCCGUGGGGUCAAAAUGAUCACAAGAACUGUGAGCAAAAAUCCCAGAACCACACGGGGGGACCUAGUGAAUGACCUGCAGAGAGCUGGGACCAAAGUAACAAAGGCUACCAUCAGUAACACACUGCAACACACCUCCAACAAAGGAUCACUAAAAAGCUUGCUGGUGGCAUUGCAGACACUGCUACCUGGAUGACCAACGCUGGCAAUGAGUUUGGUCAAGUCCUAAACUUUGUCCUAACAACAGGUGAGGGAGCCGGUCUGGAUGACUUGUGUCAGGGCAUCGUGAAUCGAUACAAGGAUGCUGGGGAGCCAGAGCCAGCUGAGAUUUAUGUUGACAGGGACUGCUACAGCGGGACGGGUGUGACUCCAGUUCUUACCUGGUUUCGACCAUGGAAGGUCACAGUGCGUCUUGAUGUCUUCCACUUCAUGCGACGGAUCACUGCUGGUCUUACAACGGAGCACCAUCCACUGUAUGGCACUUUCUGCUCCAAGUUGUCCAGCUGUAUCUUUGAAUGGGACAAGAAUGACAUUGCUUGUCUUAAAGGGGCAAAAAAGAGCAUGCUUUUAAAAAAACAUGGGGGGCAUAUUACAACAGAGGCCCAAAUCCUUUCAAGCAUCACCUCCAGUGAACUGGCCAAGCACUGCAGGAGGAGGACACGGGGAGUGGAAGAAACUCGUGCCUUGAUUCAAGGACUGCUGGACUCCAUGUGGGAACUGACCGACACAACUGGUUUGCGCCUCAUCAAUCCAGAAAGCAUGACGCAUGUGUGGGAGGUGCAACAUAAGCAUUUACCCUGCAUCUAAGAUCCACCCGCUGUUCAGCUUUACACAAAACUGGGCUCCGGGUUACAGAAGGGAGACAAGGUUCUGGAUGUACUGAGGUGUGGCAGAGGGUCCUCUUCUCUGGAAAGCUUUCAUCGCCUCCAGUGCACUUUUAUUCCUGGGUGGAGAUGUAAUGCUCUUCAUACUCAGAUGUACAUGCUUGAGGGUACAUCGAGAUGGAACAUCAACCGGGCUCAUCAGGCUGUGGACAUGAGUGGUACAUCACAUACUAAAAUCUAUGAUGUACAUUUAAUGUCCCACAUGAACGUCCUCAGCAACAGAGUCCUCGGAUGAGCUCUCCUGCCAGAAUUCAUGCCCCCUGGGAAACCCACUGAUGAACGUAUAGCUGUGGAGUACUUGCUGGCGCAGUCUGACAGAGGAGACCUGCUUUCUCCACUGGAGCACAGUGAAAUCACUCCGCCAGAGACACAGGUUGAAGUUCAGGAGGAUGAGUGUCUGGAUGUCACUAUAUGUGAUGCAGCGGACAUCAAUUUAGAUGCACACACCCUUAACAGUUCCAGCAGUCAUGAUUCAUUGAUCUCAUCUCUGGUAAUGUCAAUUUUCUUGAUUAUUCUUAAUUUAAAAUGGCAUAGGAAUGUUAUGAAACAAGACUCAAGUUUAACACAGGUGCACUACAAUUUAACUCACCUCUCAGUCGCUUGCUGACCAGGGGCUGAGCCACUACGCUUCCGAGAAGCUCUCCAGGGACCUGGCAAGGCAUUUUUCUUGCACUUAAGGGGGUAACACUUUAGAAUACUGUUCCAUCAUUAAUGAAUAA